This 406-nucleotide ribosomal RNA is filed under the name uncultured bacterium. Its description in RNAcentral is "bacterial SSU rRNA". It matches the Rfam family "Bacterial small subunit ribosomal RNA", at positions 30 to 436 of the family's 1533-position model. The record is from RNAcentral.
AUUGAACGCUGGCGGCAGGCUUAACACAUGCAAGUCGAGCGGAGAGAGGUAGCUUGCUACUGAUCUUAGCGGCGGACGGGUGAGUAAUACUUAGGAAUCUGGCUAUUAGUGGGGGACAACAUUUCGAAAGGGAUGCUAAUACCGCAUACGUCCUACGGGAGAAAGCAGGGGAUCUUCGGACCUUGCGCUAAUAGAUGAGCCUAAGUCGGAUUAGCUAGUUGGUGGGGUAAAGGCCUACCAAGGCGACGAUCUGUAGCGGGUCUGAGAGGAUGAUCCGCCACACUGGGACUGAGACACGGCCCAGACUCCUACGGGAGGCAGCAGUGGGGAAUAUUGGACAAUGGGGGGAACCCUGAUCCAGCCAUGCCGCGUGUGUGAAGAAGGCCUUAUGGUUGUAAAGCACUUU